CGAUACGGGACUCAUCCGAGGCCCCGUAAUCGGAAUGAGUACACUCUAAACCCUUUAACGAGGAUCAAUUGGAGGGCAAGUCUGGUGCCAGCAGCCGCGGUAACACCAGCUCCAAUAGCGUAUAUUAAAGUUGUUGCGGUUAAAAAGCUCGUAGUCGAAUUUGUGUCCCGCGCCGCCGGUUCAUCGCUCGCGGUGUUAACUGGCGUGUCCGCGGGACGUCCUGCCGGUGGGCUUAGCUCUCGGGCGGCCCAAUCUCAAUCCCACCGCGGUGCUCUUCACUGAGUGUCGAGGUGGGCCGGCACGUUUACUUUGAACAAAUUAGAGUGCUUAAAGCAGGCUAAAACGUCGCCUGAAUACUGUGUGCAUGGAAUAAUGGAAUAGGACCUCGGUUCUAUUUUGUUGGUUUUCGGAACCCCGAGGUAAUGAUUAAUAGGAACGGAUGGGGGCAUUCGUAUUGCGACGUUAGAGGUGAAAUUCUUGGAUCGUCGCAAGACGGACAGAAGCGAAAGCAUUUGCCAAAAACGUUUUCAUUGAUCAAGAACGAAAGUUAGAGGUUCGAAGGCGAUCAGAUACCGCCCUAGUUCUAACCAUAAACGAUGCCAGCUAGCGAUCCGCCGACGUUCCUCCGAUGACUCGGCGGGCAGCUUCCGGGAAACCAAAGCUUUUGGGAUCCGGGGGAAGUAUGGUUGCAAAGCUGAAACUUAAAGGAAUUGACGGAAGGGCACCACCAGGAGUGGAGCCUGCGGCUUAAUUUGACUCAACACGGGAAACCUCACCAGGCCCGGACACCGGAAGGAUUGACAGAUUGAGAG
RNAcentral lists this ribosomal RNA (812 nucleotides) under Onthophagus elegans. Its description in RNAcentral is "SSU rRNA". It matches the Rfam family "Eukaryotic small subunit ribosomal RNA", at positions 477 to 1254 of the family's 1831-position model. The record is from RNAcentral. Lineage: Eukaryota; Metazoa; Arthropoda; Insecta; Coleoptera; Scarabaeidae.